This 161-nucleotide non-coding RNA is filed under the name uncultured Clostridium sp. RNAcentral's name for it is "Lysine riboswitch". It matches the Rfam family "Lysine riboswitch aptamer". From Rfam's summary of the family: Riboswitches are metabolite binding domains within certain messenger RNAs that serve as precision sensors for their corresponding targets. Allosteric rearrangement of mRNA structure is mediated by ligand binding, and this results in modulation of gene expression. This family includes riboswitches that sense lysine in a number of genes involved in lysine metabolism, including lysC. Lineage: Bacteria; Bacillati; Bacillota; Clostridia; Eubacteriales; Clostridiaceae. The record is from RNAcentral.
CUGAUAGAGGCGCGGCUGACAGGAGUAGGCUCACAGACCGGACAGGAAACCGGAGCCGAAAGGGGAUGCCGCCGAGGCAGUACAGGGCGUCCUGGUCCUGUGCAUGCCGGGCCGGCGGAGAAUAUCCGGCGGACUGUCGCAGUUACUGCGGAGCGCUGUCA